ACUGCUCAGUAACACGUGGACAGCCUGCCCUUAGGUUGGGUAUAAACCCGGGAAACUGGGUAUAAUACCCGAUAGGUCUCGAUUGCUGGAAUGCAUCGAGAUUUAAAGCUCCGGCGCCUAAGGAUGGGUCUGCGGCCUAUCAGGUAGUAGUGGGUGUAGCGUACCUACUAGCCUACGACGGGUACGGGUUGUGAGAGCAAGAGCCCGGAGAUGGAUUCUGAGACACGAAUCCAGGCCCUACGGGGUGCAGCAGGCGCGAAAACUUUACAAUGCUGGCAACAGCGAUAAGGGAACCUCGAGUGCCAGGUUACAAAUCUGGCUGUCGAGAUGCCUAAAAAGCAUUUCAUAGCAAGGGCCGGGCAAGACCGGUGCCAGCCGCCGCGGUAACACCGGCGGCUCGAGUGGUAACCGUUAUUAUUGGGUCUAAAGGGUCUGUAGCCGGCCGGAUAAGUCUCUUGAGAAAUCUGGCAGCUUAACUGUCAGGCUUUCAGGAGAUACUGUCUGGCUCGAGGCCGGGAGAGGUGAGAGGUACUUCAGGGGUAGGGGUGAAAUCUUGUAAUCCUUGAAGGACCACCAGUGGCGAAGGCGUCUCACCAGAACGGACCUGACGGCAAGGGACGAAAGCUAGGGGCACGGACCGGAUUAGAUACCCGGGUAGUCCUAGCCGUAAACGAUACUCGCUAGGUGUCGGCCACGGUGCGACCGUUGUCGGUGCCGUAGGGAAGCCGUGAAGCGAGCCACCUGGGAAGUACGGCCGCAAGGCUGAAACUUAAAGGAAUUGGCGGGGGAGCAC
RNAcentral lists this ribosomal RNA (793 nucleotides) under uncultured archaeon. Its description in RNAcentral is "bacterial SSU rRNA". It matches the Rfam family "Archaeal small subunit ribosomal RNA", at positions 85 to 879 of the family's 1478-position model. The record is from RNAcentral.